AUUGAACGCUGGCGGCAUGCCUUACACAUGCAAGUCGAACGGCAGCACGGGUGCUUGCACCUGGUGGCGAGUGGCGAACGGGUGAGUAAUACAUCGGUACACGUCCCGUAGCGGUGGAUAGCCCGGCGAAAGCCGGAUUAAUACCGCAUACGAUCUACGGAUGUAAGCGGGGGACCUUCGGGCCUCGCGCUAUAGGGUUGGCCGAUGGCUGAUUAGCUAGUUGGUGGGGUAAAGGCCUACCAAGGCGACGAUCAGUAGCUGGUCUGAGAGGACGACCAGCCACACUGGGAGUGAGACACGGCCCAGACUCCUGCGGGAGGCAGCAGUGGGGAAUGUUGGACAAUAGGCGAGAACCUGAUCCAGCGAUGCCGCGUGUGUGGAAAAGACCUUCGGGUUGUGAAGCACUUUUGUCCGGAGAGAAAUCCUUGCCCCUAAUACGAACGGGGGGUGACGGUACCGGAAGAAUAAGCACCGGCUAACUACGUG
Molecule: ribosomal RNA, 486 nt
Filed under: uncultured bacterium
Lineage: Bacteria
Description: partial 16S ribosomal RNA
Rfam family: Bacterial small subunit ribosomal RNA
Source: RNAcentral